GAUGAACGCUGGCGGCGUGCCUAACACAUGCAAGUCGAGCGAACGGACGAGAAUUCUGCUUUUCUGUUGUUAGCGUCGGACGGGUGAGUAACACGUGGAUAACCUAUCUAUAAGACUGGGCUUACUUCGGGAAACCGGAGCCAAUACCGGAUAAUCUUUUGAACUGCAUGGUUCUAAAGUGAAUGGCGGUCGUGCUGUUACUUAUAGAUGGAUCCGUGCUGCAUUAGCUAGUUGGUGAGGGAACGGCAUACCAAGGCAACGAUGCAUAGCCGACCUGGGAGGGUGAGCGUCCACACUGGAACUGAGACACGGUCCAGACUCCUACGGGAGGCAGCAGUAGGGAAUCUUACGCAAUGGGCGAGAGCCUGACGGAGCAACGCCGCGUGAGUGAUGAAGGUCUUCGGAUCGUAAAACUCUGUUAUUAGGGAAGAACAGAUGUGUAAGUAACUGUGCACAUCGUGACGGUACCUGAACAGAAAGCCACGGCUAACUACGUG
This 497-nucleotide ribosomal RNA is filed under the name uncultured bacterium. RNAcentral describes it as "partial 16S ribosomal RNA". It matches the Rfam family "Bacterial small subunit ribosomal RNA", at positions 28 to 507 of the family's 1533-position model. The record is from RNAcentral.